CUUGCGGAUUCAUCUGUGUGCGUAUAAAUACCAUAGUACACUCUAGUGCCAUGCUGGGGAUGACAACCUAGUAUUCAAGUGGUGUUAGCAAGUGUCAACAAGCAUUUUUGGUGCCGUUGCCGGGGAAACGGUUGCUGAGUUGACUACGAACUAGCUUAAUCAUUUUCUAAAAAAUAAAAAAAAUAAUAUAUACUUUUCCUUUUAUCUUUUGCCUUAUCUCUACUAUUCUUUCUUCUUAUCUAAUCCUUGAUCUCUUGUCUAUCAUGAAUUCAAACAUGUCUAUCUAUGAAUUUCAUAGACCUACAGGCACACAUCUCGAACCACCAAAAUCUUCAAAGCCUAUCAUAGCAUCUAGUUUUAAGAUAGACCCCGAAUACAUAGAAUUUGUUCAAAAACAACCUUUCUCAGGAGA
This 412-nucleotide long non-coding RNA is filed under the name Sorghum bicolor (sorghum). RNAcentral describes it as "long non-coding RNA (SBIC_LNC014023)". Lineage: Eukaryota; Viridiplantae; Streptophyta; Magnoliopsida; Poales; Poaceae. The record is from RNAcentral.